GCUGGGCGUGGUGGCGCACGCAUGUAAUCCCAGAGGUCUGGGAGGCUGAGGCAGGAGGAUCUCGAGUUCAAAGCCAGCCUCAGCAAAAGCCAGAUGCUAAGCAACUCAGUGAGACCCCGUCUCUA
Molecule: small RNA, 125 nt
Filed under: Marmota monax (woodchuck)
Lineage: Eukaryota; Metazoa; Chordata; Mammalia; Rodentia; Sciuridae
Source: RNAcentral